UAAGUAGGUAGUGAAAUCUGGUGGCUCAACCAUUCAGACUAUUACCUAAACUGAUAGACUCGAGAAUGUUAGGGGUAGCUGGAAUUUCUAGUGUAGGAGUGAAAUCCGUAGAUAUUAGAAAGAACACCGAUAGCGUAGGCAGGCUACUGGACCAUUUCUGACACUGAGGCACGAAAGCGUGGGGAGCGAACCGGAUUAGAUACCCGGGUAGUCCACGCCGUAAACUAUGGAUACUA
This 236-nucleotide ribosomal RNA is filed under the name uncultured Candidatus Saccharibacteria bacterium. RNAcentral describes it as "partial 16S ribosomal RNA". It matches the Rfam family "Bacterial small subunit ribosomal RNA", at positions 584 to 818 of the family's 1533-position model. The record is from RNAcentral. Lineage: Bacteria; Candidatus Saccharimonadota.